Molecule: long non-coding RNA, 3633 nt
Organism: Acinonyx jubatus (cheetah)
Lineage: Eukaryota; Metazoa; Chordata; Mammalia; Carnivora; Felidae
Exons: 11
Source: RefSeq, a predicted model, not a curated record
AAAUGAGGCAAGAUUUGUUGUUCUUAGCCAUGAACACUUCAUUUUGAUUAUGUGUGUAUCUGACAUACUUGAGGUGUAUCUGUUGCUUUUUUGUAUGGACAUCUCAUCAUUGCCUGUUCUUAUCCACAUCUUUUCUUGACCCAGUAACUACUCUUUCAUGGACUCUUUGUGUUUAGGGCUUCCUGUCAAGAAGAGGAACAAAUUAUGAUUUCUAAUAUCUUGGUGGUGGUGGUAGUAAUAAAGAAAAGGAUUUGGGAGAGACAAAGCUGCAUGAUGCUACUACCUUCACAGAUGGGGAUAAUGGAAAGUUUCUGGUGGAAUGUGAGAUGAGCGAGUGAAGGAACAAGAGCCAUUAGAUACCAAAUUCACCUACUUCUCAGUUGUGCCCGGUUCCUGGGACAAUGGCGGUAACGUUGAGCCCCCCUGCAGCCUUGGGAGUGGAGAGCUGCUGCUCCUGAAAGUCUUUCUUCUCCCUACCCUAUUGGAAUACGUCCACAAAACUGAUAAGGGAGGGGCAAUGGAACCCUAGUAUGAAACAAACGACGUGGAGUUCACAAACACUUCCGCCACGAAUGGAGAUCCAGCCGAGGGUUCCGAAGUGAAGUAUCUCAACAGACCAACUUAGAAGAACUAAUUUUGUAUUCCUAAUAAAAAUAAACUCAAAACCAAAUACAAGUAAAGUAAAAUAUGUAAAUUCUGUUCUCUCUCAACUCCGGCUCCAUAACCAGCCUCCAAUUUCAUAUGAAAAUGAGGCUACUUUCUAAUUUUGACAGAUUUUCCUUCCCUCCAGGUGUAGGUUUUAAAGUGGGAGCUAAUUUAAACACGAGAGAUUUUACCCCUAUGUCAAGAACAUCACUUAGUAACAGGUAUCUACGUACAAGCCCAUUGCAAACAAAAUGCUCAUUAAAUCCAUGAUUUUGCUACAAACGUGUCCUUUCCUCCCACGCCCUUCGUGGUCACACUUUUCGAAGACAAGCGGCAAAACCUUGCUUAUUCUGUUUAGUGGGACGGUCCGGGAGAACCUCGCGCCACAGUCCCCAGACAGGUUGGCUGACGACAGCUGGACCCUCCCUCCGGCGGCAGUUCUCGGAAGGAUCGGCGUUGCCUUGGGAACCUCUAUCCCGCGGGAUCCGACUGUUUCCACUUCGGCCCCCAUUUCCGCCCUUUGCUGCCCCCAGGCCUCUCCCCGCCCCCCCAGAUCCCAACCUCCCCUCCACACUUCCCAAAGCACAGACACCCGACCAUACCUGUGCGUCCUCGUCCUCCGUCACCACCCCGACCACCGAGAUUUGGCGAGGGCUGCUGGACCUGUUCCUGCGGCCCGGUUCCGGGACCUCGGAGGUCCCCGCGGCCUCAGCUACCGACAUGGCUGAAGUGGGAGGGAAGGAGGGAUGGGGGGCGGGGGUGGUCCUCCAGUCCUACACAGUUCCCUUAGCCUCAAGACCCACAAAGUCCCCCCCACCAAGAAGAGAAAGCCGCCGGAGAGGCGCUAGGGUCGCGAAAAGCCUCGGGAGUCCGGCAGUGGCCUCGGCCACCACGACGCCACCCUUAUCAAGCCACCGCAGCCCACCGGCGGACUUCUGCUCCCGCGGGCUGGCGGGUUGUUAACAAGCCAGAGCGUUGCUAGGGGCGGGGUCGGGGGCUGCAGAAGCGUCGGCUCCUACGGAAGCCUGGGGAGCCAAACUACCCCAAACCCUAAAUGCACCUCCAAGUUGCGAGUAGCUCAGUUUGGUCGCUGGCGGGAGGGAGGCGGGAGUAGACGACCCCGGAUUGCUGUGAGAAGACAGAAUGAGAUGGUAGUUUGCAGAUUGGCGUUUUGCACUUAAGUACCCAGGUUAAAACUGUCAUAGAAACAACAAAGUCCUUGCUACCUGUGAUGACCUGAAAAUAAAAUGCAGAACAAUCCUGCUAGAGCCUGGGAUUGGGAAGUCCUCACGGGAAGAAAGCCAGGAGGAAAGAAAGGUUUCUAGACCACGUGUUUCGGCAGCAGUGGCAUGCAGAGACCAGAAUUAUGAUGGCCUCGUUCCUGUCAGAACAUGAAGCUUUAAGAGGAAAGUAAUAAUUUUAGAAUCCUUAGCUCAUUAUUAAUGACACCCCUUCGAGUUAUACCAUCUACUACCCAGCUUUUUUCUAAAGCCAAAUUUUAGCACUGCAUAACCACCUACUCUCUGCUCAAUUGCUUGAACCUUAGAUACUUUUUUUUCUAAAGUAAAUAAUUUGUUUUUUCCCUAUAGAAGUUUUUGGUUUUUCUCCCCCUUAUCCUUGGUGGCCUGAGAGGUGGCAGGAACCCACACCUAUACAGUCUCUAGCUCCAGAAAAUUUCUUUUAUUAUUUAUUUUCUCUUUUUAUUUUUUUCAUUCCAUCCUUCUAAAGCUUACAUGAGAGGUAUUUGAAAUCACCCAGAUGCUUUUCCAUGUCCUUAAAUUUUCUUCAACAUUUUCCAUUUCAUGAAUUUUUUCUUUUGUACUGCCUUCUGGAAACCUGUAAAUUAAUCUUCAACUAUAUCUAUUCUGGAAUUCCAUUCUUCCAUUAAUAUUUAAUUUUUUUUCCUUUUUGAAUCCCGAGUGUAAAGAGUUGGCUUAAUUGUAACACCUCAGUUCACAGCACAAUGUUGUUAUCAUUUGUCUGUGUAAGAGUCUUAUUUCAUUCUCUUGUUUUUCAAAACUUCCUCCCUGAUUUGCAUUCCCAUUCUUCCUACCAGUGUUUUUAUUUAAGAUGUUUGAUGUAUGUUCUUAAAUGUGCAUGUAAUUCUGCAUGCCAAAAUAUGUUGUGUUGUCUUCUCUGCAUGCUUUUUUCCUGAACUGAUAGACAGUAUUGUGCUAUGCAGCAUGGCUUUAAAAAAUUUUGCAGUGAAGAUCUAAUUCCAAAGAACUCCAAUUGCUUCUUUUUCUUUUCUUUCUUUUUGCUUUAGAGAGAGAGAGAGAGAGAGAGAGAGAGAGAGAGAGAGAGAGAGAGAAAGCACACAGCAGCUGCAGCCGCCAUGAUGUCUUGUUGCCAGAAGGCUGGAGCUCAAGUUCUUCCUCUCAGUCCUGGAGAUGCUGCCACUAUGCCAUCACGAAAUGCAGUUGAGAGGGCAAGCACUUGAUUGCUGCAACCCAGGGCUGCUUGGUGCUCCAUUUAGAAGGGAGUUGAGCAUGAUACAGCUUCUGUCAUCUCUGCAUGUUAAAACAAUCUUAAGUACAGUCGACUGAGAUCAAUUUUCUGGUUAAUGAUGAAGAUUUAUAGAACAGCAGGAGAAGUUGACUCCUGGUGCUCAUUUAGAGGAAAGCCAACUCUGCUCAAAGGAGGAAGAUAUCUUCAACAGAACAGGAGAAAGCCAACACACGAAAGUACAAGCAAGAAAUGGGGAAAGACACAGAAGAGUCCUGGUGAUAUAUUUUAAGUAUUUAGAGUUCCGGAGACCAGAUAAUGAAUUUUUCAGUCACACAAGCCAAUACAUUUCCUUUUUUGCUUUAGUUUCAAUAGGGUAUCUAUCGCUGGCAUUUUAAAGACUCCUGAGUAAAGCAUAUGCCAAUCAUCAGAUAUUUAUGGAACUCAACUUUAUAAUAGACACUGAGGAAAAAGAAAUGAGACUUUAUGUCUGUUCUGGAGGAGCUCACAGUUUAUUUCCUUAAUAAAUAUUAUUCCAAAUCA